AGCCAUAUAGCAAGUUGAAUCUGCUUGGCAAAAAUGUGAUCACAGCAUUGCGUAAAAAGAGACAUAAACCGCGUGGCAUUUUUAGCAGACGAAAAACGUCUUGUUUCCUCAUUUCAAAGUAACAAACAACACACAGUUCCUAUCUUAAUCAUAUUUAUGUUCUUCUUCGUUACCAGCUCUGGGCCUCUUGUCUUACUCAAAAACUCUCUGACCAAACAAAGAGCUUCUAUGAUUUCCCUGUUUCGUAGCUAAUCGUUAGUCUCCUGUAUCUCAAAGGGUUUGUCCCGAUCUCAAAUGCAUCGUCUUAGAAGUACUCAAGUAGCGAGAUUAAUCGUUGUAAAACAUAGGAAUAAAUAUUUUAUAGAUAUUUUGUGUUAAAAGUAGGUGUUUGGAUAACCGAUAUCCGAUUUAUAACGA
This 417-nucleotide long non-coding RNA is filed under the name Brassica napus (rape). RNAcentral's name for it is "long non-coding RNA (BNAP_LNC019073)". Lineage: Eukaryota; Viridiplantae; Streptophyta; Magnoliopsida; Brassicales; Brassicaceae. The record is from RNAcentral.